AUCCGGAAGCUGCUGCACCGCGCGCGCGCUCACUGAGAUCCGAGGUUUGGAAGAAAAACGGAAAACCCAGUGGAACACCAAUGCUGACGGUGACGGCCGACGCCAGGAUAGCGACCACGGGCUCGAAGCUAGGGCAACCCGGCUCUUGUCCCAAGAAAGGAAUCCGCUCCCCGCUGCCCUCCACGGUGGCUGCACGCUGAUCCCCAACUUUUCCAGGAGAAUUGGUUUGAUGGAGCAAAGGGACUCGGCGCAGCUCGGUACAUGAAGGAAACAAUGCGACCAGUAUGCAGACAGCACGGAUCGUACUGGAAGUUUGACACAGCACCAGAGAACUCACACAGGAGAGAAACCAUUCAAGUGCACUGUGUGUAACAAGGCAUAUGCACGGUCAUCAACUCUUCAG
Long non-coding RNA from Lethenteron reissneri (Far Eastern brook lamprey), 403 nucleotides. RefSeq lists it as uncharacterized. The record is from RefSeq and is a predicted model, not a curated record. Lineage: Eukaryota; Metazoa; Chordata; Hyperoartia; Petromyzontiformes; Petromyzontidae.